AAACCAACAGGGAUUGCCUCAGUAACGGCGAGUGAAGCGGCAAAAGCUCAAAUUUGAAAUCUAGCACCUUCGGUGUUCGAGUUGUAAUUUGAAGAUGGUAACCUUGGGUUUGGCUCUGUCUAUGUUCCUUGGAACAGGACGUCAUAGAGGGUGAGAAUCCCGUCUGAUGAGAUGCCCAUUCCUAUGUAAGGUGCUAUCGAAGAGUCGAGUUGUUUGGGAAUGCAGCUCUAAGUGGGUGGUAAAUUCCAUCUAAAGCUAAAUAUUGGCGAGAGACCGAUAGCGAACAAGUACAGUGAUGGAAAGAUGAAAAGAACUUUGAAAAGAGAGUGAAAAAGUACGUGAAAUUGUUGAAAGGGAAGGGCAUUAGAUCAGACUUGGUGUUUUACGAUUAUCUUCUCUUCUUGAGUUGUGCACUCGUAUUUCACUGGGCCAGCAUCGAUUCGGAUGGCAAGAUAAUGGCAGUUGAAUGUGGCUUCACUUCGGUGGAGUGUUAUAGCUUCUGCUGAUAUUGCCUGUCUGGAUCGAGGGCUGCGUCUUUGACUAGGAUGCGCCGAUUUAGG
RNAcentral lists this ribosomal RNA (560 nucleotides) under Hansenula anomala. RNAcentral describes it as "LSU rRNA". It matches the Rfam family "Eukaryotic large subunit ribosomal RNA", at positions 62 to 634 of the family's 3401-position model. Lineage: Eukaryota; Fungi; Ascomycota; Saccharomycetes; Phaffomycetales; Wickerhamomycetaceae. The record is from RNAcentral.